AUACGGAGGGUCCAAGCGUUAUCCGGAAUCAUUGGGUUUAAAGGGUCCGCAGGCGGUCAAUUAAGUCAGAGGUGAAAGCCCAUCGCUCAACGAUGGAACUGCCUUUGAUACUGGUUGACUUGAGUUAUACGGAAGUAGAUAGAAUAAGUAGUGUAGCGGUGAAAUGCAUAGAUAUUACUUAGAAUACCGAUUGCGAAGGCAGUCUACUACGUAUAUACUGACGCUGAGGGACGAAAGCGUGGGGAGCGAACAGGAUUAGAAACCCCAGUAGUCC
This 274-nucleotide ribosomal RNA is filed under the name uncultured bacterium. RNAcentral describes it as "partial 16S ribosomal RNA". It matches the Rfam family "Bacterial small subunit ribosomal RNA", at positions 523 to 796 of the family's 1533-position model. The record is from RNAcentral.